ACGAACGCUGGCGGCGUGCCUAAUACAUGCAAGUCGAKCGAACGGAUSAAGAGCUUGCUCUUCUGAAGUGAGCGGCGGACGGGUGAGUAACACGUGGGCAACCUGCCCGCAAGACCGGGAUAACUCCGGGAAACCGGGGCUAAUACCGGAUGAUGCCUCUUCCCGCAUGGGAGGAGACUGAAAGACGGCCUUUGGCUGUCACUUGCGGAUGGGCCCGCGGCGCAUUAGCUGGUUGGUGAGGUAACGGCUCACCAAGGCGACGAUGCGUAGCCGACCUGAGAGGGUGAUCGGCCACACUGGGACUGAGACACGGCCCAGACUCCUACGGGAGGCAGCAGUAGGGAAUUUUCCGCAAUGGGCGCAAGCCUGACGGAGCAACGCCGCGUGAGUGAGGACGGCUUUCGGGUUGUAAAACUCUGUUCUUCGGGAAGAACGGUCGAAGGGUGAACAAUCCUUUGGCGUGACGGUACCGGAGGAGAAAGCCCCGGCUAACUACGUGCC
Molecule: ribosomal RNA, 501 nt
Rfam family: Bacterial small subunit ribosomal RNA